This 253-nucleotide ribosomal RNA is filed under the name uncultured bacterium. RNAcentral describes it as "partial 16S ribosomal RNA". It matches the Rfam family "Bacterial small subunit ribosomal RNA", at positions 524 to 776 of the family's 1533-position model. The record is from RNAcentral.
UACGGGGGGGGCAAGCGUUGUUCGGAUUUACUGGGCGUAAAGGGCUCGUAGGCGGCCACCUAAGUCAGACGUGAAAUCCCCAGGCUCAACCUGGGAACUGCGUCUGAUACUGGAUGGCUUGAAUCCGGGAGAGGGAUGCAGAAUUCCAGGUGUAGCGGUGAAAUGCGUAGAUAUCUGGAGGAAUACCGGUGGCGAAGGCGGCAUCCUGGACCGGCAUUGACGCUGAGGAGCGAAAGCCAGGGGAGCAAACGGG